Long non-coding RNA from Leopardus geoffroyi (Geoffroy's cat), 557 nucleotides. RefSeq lists it as uncharacterized. The transcript has 2 exons. NCBI's taxonomy places the organism in Eukaryota, Metazoa, Chordata, Mammalia, Carnivora, Felidae. The record is from RefSeq and is a predicted model, not a curated record.
GAAAAGGUAGCUCUUAACCUCAGCAAUUUACUGCAGAGUCUGGAAACACAAUUUAAUUUUACUGCCAGCUCUUUGGUCUAAUUUUUAAUCUUUCAGUCUCAUUAUUUUAAAGUUUUGGGGGAUUUAUUUGUUUACUGCUAAAAAGAGGCUCUAAUCUUAUGACCUCACUAUGUGUAGAAUGUUAGCUUGGUCCUAUUUUCUCUUAACUGCCAACCGAGAAAUGUCAUCUGUUAUGUGUGUUUUGAUAUGCUUCCAAGAGACAGAGCUAUAGAGUCCCAGAUAUAAACAGCUGAUGACUACUGGAACAAGAACGGGAGAGGGAAGACGGGAAACUGAUACUCUGAAAGUCAGUGCCAUCUCUCAAAGGCAUAUUCACAUGUGUGAGAAGAGAGAGCGCAAGGAAGAGAUCAACUACAUAUUCAUAAGAAUGAGGGGGAAAAUGGAUUCGAUCUUUCAGUUAAUUUGUCCAUUAAAAGCAAGGGUACUUCUUGCAGCAUCAGAAAAACAAAGAAAUAGAGAACACAUGUACCAAAAAUAUUAAACAAUCUUCCAAAGCA